Molecule: long non-coding RNA, 1199 nt
Organism: Gasterosteus aculeatus aculeatus (three-spined stickleback)
Lineage: Eukaryota; Metazoa; Chordata; Actinopteri; Perciformes; Gasterosteidae
Source: Ensembl
GCCGGUGAGGGCGUCCUGUGUCCCACUGAACCCGUCUGCAUGCAGGUCACCGCCUGUGUUCCUACUGCAAGGACAUCUGAUUUCAAGGAGAUGCAAUCUGAAUCGUGUUGUUUUUGUCUUUUACUUGCUACCACGAGAAGGCCACACAAAAGAAAAGGCAGGGAGAUUGCAUAUAAAACCCCCACAGAAAACAGCGUCUGUCCAGUGGUUUCUGCUGCCAAAACCGACUCCACCGCGACCGCUGUGCGUGUGUGUGUUUGUAUUGUGUGUGUGUGUGUGCGAUCGAAGGUCAGAGGGAGUGACACAUUUUGAUUUCUGGUAAAACUGACCAUCGGGUUCGGCGAAAACAUGUCAAGAAUUUCCCCCGAAUACCAAAAAAGAAGAAGAAAAAGAAACCUAUUUUUUUUACAGAGACACUUUUUUCUGCUGACGAUGGCAGAUAUUCUGAAUAACAGUGUUUGUGUUGAGUCGACCGUUUGCCGUGGAAUCUAUUUAAACUGUUUCUUGGCCUAAAUUCUCCGCGGUUGUCUGGCAACAUCGCGUUUACGACAAGAAUCCAGGGGGUCACCGCUCCCUGCCAGGAAAUAGUCUGUCCCACAGCCCUCUUCUCAUUUUCCCCUUUGGUUUUUGCAUAAAUGCAAAUGGUGUUUGCAGGCGGGCCUGAGGCUGCUGCAGGCUGCAGGGUUGAUGCAUUUCUUUGAGGCAAUAAUACUCAACUAAGAGAGGAAAGAAAGAAUCUAACAGCGUAAUCACACUUGAGCCCCGUGAGCAUUGAAAGCCACAAUAGCCUGCAGUUACUAUUUCACGCCUGCCUUUCAUUCAAGGACUUGGGAGGUGAAAAACAUCUCUUUAACGUGUCUCUUCACUCUCGGUCUGAUCCAGCGUGUAAGCGUUGAAGCAGAACGUCUCCGAAAAUGUGUCGAGGCUUCUCCUCAUUUAGUGAAUAACUCGGAAUUGUAUUUAGGUCCAUUUUCAAAACCAGUCUUCGUGGUUUUGCCGUCCAGAGUAAGAUGCAGAUGAUCCGCCACCCUUCUGCUGUGCAGAACUAACUAGUCCACCAAGUGGAGGAGUCGGAGCUGUGGGAGCGAAACACUUCCGGCAGAUCAAGUAUUAAUCCCGCGAAAGAACAACAAGCUGCGAUGAGCGACAGACCUCCGACACGCACUGCCGGGUAUUUGAUUAUUGCAGCGCUGAAAGGU